GAUGAACGCUGGCGGCGUGCCUAAUACAUGCAAGUCGAGCGAACGGACGAGAAGCUUGCUUCUCUGAUGUUAGCGGCGGACGGGUGAGUAACACGUGGAUAACCUACCUAUAAGACUGGGAUAACUUCGGGAAACCGGAGCUAAUACCGGAUGAUAUUUUGAACCGCAUGGUUCAAAAGUGAAAGACGGUCUUACUGUCACUUAUAGAUGGAUCCGCGCUGCAUUAGCUAGUUGGUAAGGUAACGGCUUACCAAGGCAACGGUGCAUAGCCGACCUGAGAGGGUGAUCGGCCACACUGGAACUGAGACACGGUCCAGACUCCUACGGGAGGCAGCAGUAGGGAAUCUUCCGCAAUGGGCGAAAGCCUGACGGAGCAACGCCGCGUGAGUGAUGAAGGUCUUCGGAUCGUAAAACUCUGUUAUUAGGGAAGAACAUAUGUGUAAGUAACUGUGCACAUCUUGACGGUACCUAAUCAGAAAGCCACGGCUAACUACGUG
Molecule: ribosomal RNA, 497 nt
Filed under: uncultured bacterium
Lineage: Bacteria
Description: partial 16S ribosomal RNA
Rfam family: Bacterial small subunit ribosomal RNA
Source: RNAcentral